RNAcentral lists this ribosomal RNA (433 nucleotides) under uncultured bacterium. Its description in RNAcentral is "partial 16S ribosomal RNA". It matches the Rfam family "Bacterial small subunit ribosomal RNA", at positions 29 to 507 of the family's 1533-position model. The record is from RNAcentral.
AACGAACGCUGGCGGCAGGCCUAACACAUGCAAGUCGAGCGCGCGCUUCGGGGUGAGCGGCGGACGGGUGAGUAACGCGUGGGAACAUGCCCAUCUCUGCGGAAUAGAUUCGGGAAACAGAGAGUAAUACCGCAUCUGCCCCCUGGGGGAAAGAUAGAACGGAGCAGGAUGGGCCCGCGAUGGAUAAGGUUGUUGGUUGGGUAAUGGGCCACCAAGCCGACGAUCCAUAGAUGGGUUGAGAGGAUGGUCAGCCACACUGGGACGGGGACACGGCCCAGACUCCUACGGGAGGCAGCAGUGGGGGAUCUAGGACAGUCGGGGCAAUCCUGAUCUAGCCAUGCUGCGUGAGUGAUGAAGGCCUGAAGGUAGUAAAGCUCUUUCAGCUGGGAAUAUAAUGACGGUACCAGCAGAAUAAGCCCCGGCUAACUCCGUG